This 406-nucleotide ribosomal RNA is filed under the name uncultured bacterium. RNAcentral describes it as "partial 16S ribosomal RNA". It matches the Rfam family "Bacterial small subunit ribosomal RNA", at positions 30 to 526 of the family's 1533-position model. The record is from RNAcentral.
AUUGAACGCUGGCGGCAGGCCUAACACAUGCAAGUCGAACGAGUGGCGGACGGGUGAGUAAUGUCUGGGACACUGCCUGAUGGAGGGGGAUAACUACUGGAAACGGUAGCUAAUACCGCAUACUAUAAGAUGUUGCCUGAUGGGAUUAGCGUGUUGGUGGGGUAACGCCACACCAAUGAGACGAUCCCUAGCGUGUCUGAGAGGAUGACCAGCCACACUGGAACUGAUACACGGUCCCGACUCCUACGUGAGGCAGCAGUGGGGAAUAGUGCACAAGGGGCGUAAGCCUGAUGAAGCCAUGCCGCGUGUAUGAAGAAGGCCUUCGGGUUGUAAAGUACUUUCAGCGGGGAGGCGUUACCCGCAGAAGAAGCACCGGCUAACUCCGUGCCAGCAGCCGCGGUAAUUC